RNAcentral lists this unclassified non-coding RNA (299 nucleotides) under uncultured Ascomycota. Its description in RNAcentral is "sequence contains ITS1". The stretch from base 1 to 105 matches the Rfam family "5.8S ribosomal RNA", at positions 50 to 154 of the family's 154-position model. The record is from RNAcentral. Lineage: Eukaryota; Fungi; Ascomycota.
GAAAUGCGAAAAGUAGUGUGAAUUGCAGAAUUCAGUGAAUCAUCGAAUCUUUGAACGCACAUUGCGCCCCUUGGUAUUCCAUGGGGCAUGCCUGUUCGAGCGUCAUUUGUACCCUCAAGCUCUGCUUGGUGUUGGGUGUUUGUCCCGCCUUCGCGCGUGGACUCGCCUUAAAGUGAUUGGCAGCCGGAAUAAUUCUGGGGAACGCAGCACAACUGCAGCCUCCAUUUUACGCCGAGCGUCCAGUAAGCCUUUUUUCAACGUUUGACCUCGGAUCAGGUAGGGAUACCCGCUGAACUUAA